Molecule: long non-coding RNA, 1614 nt
Organism: Pangasianodon hypophthalmus (striped catfish)
Lineage: Eukaryota; Metazoa; Chordata; Actinopteri; Siluriformes; Pangasiidae
Exons: 4
Source: RefSeq, a predicted model, not a curated record
UUUUUUUUGGUCCUGGUGAUUGGUAUGAUUGUUGAUCAUUUCAGUUUUUGCCCUUUAAAUUGUUCCAUUGAUCUAAAUUUUCCAAAUUGUUACCCCUCCUAAUAUUCAUUACACUAAUGACUUUAAUUUCAUUUCAGAUGUUUUAGAUCUCUUUAGAUCUUUAGAAAAAAAAUGUAUGCCCAUGCUUUAUGCAUCUACUUCAUGUGUCUGUGAUUUACUUACUAUUUGUUCAUUUAUUUAUUACUUCUCGUGCCAAAUUCCUUUUUCCCUUCAAGCCUAGUUCCUUAAUUUUUUGCCAAUUAAACAACCACUUCUUUUUUUUUCUUCCCUAAUUAUUACUUCUGUACAGAAGCAGUUGUGCUGUCAUGUGGAAGAUUUCUCUUUCUCAUGAAGUAAAAACUCGAGUGGUAUGAGAUUGCUCUCAGAUUGACUGAAGUUGCUGUGUUACUGUGUGGGUGGAUGUGAAGUCAUAACAUGUUAGAACACUAAAAACUAAAGCUUUCUGGCAUUAUGGACUUAUACACAAAGUGCAUUCAGGAAAUAUUCACAUCACCCCAGUCUUGAGUAUCUCUUACUUUGUAAAAGAAGUUUUUGAUGCACUGUUACAGGUAAAUAAUUAUAAUGUAAUUGUGAUGAAAGUACUGAUGUUUGAUGUUACCUCUGAGCAUGAUAACAUCUGCUGCUCUCUUUUUUUUUUCCAGGAAAAAUGAAUAAAAUGACUUUGAACUCUGUCUUAUAAAACAUGACAAACUCAAAAAGUUACCUCAUGUUUUGGUUUGUUUCUUUUGAUUUAAUUGGAUCAAACAACCUAUUACUGUGAUACAUUAAAUAGUAGAUAAUUAAACAAAAAUAUGCUCAGGGAACCAAAAAAAAAAACCAAAAAAUGUGGGCUUCCUGUUUGACGGUUACACAUGCAAAUUGAAAAGCUGUUUGAAAUGUUCAUCAUGAGUAAUCUCUAACCACAACCUCAAGAGAGCUACUCAAAUUCACCAGCGCCCUUUUUGGUUUUUUACACAUCUGGAGGAAAUGAAAAUGGCCUUGAAAUUAGUUCUUAAGUCUUUUGACUUGGUAUUCGUCGCUCCAUAUGGGAAAAGAAUUUCAAGCAGAAAUCUUCAGUUUUUUCAAGGAAGCUUAAGAAUUGAAGAAGCUUCAGUUGUUGACUGGAAUUCAAGGAUUAAUUCAAUUCUUUAAUUCAACUCAAGAGACUCUGCUGUGGCAAGAAACUGGUGGCCAGGAUGAUGUUCAAGAAAUGGGGUCCAGGCUUUCAAAAGACCAGCAAUACAAUAAUAAUAAUAAUAAUAAUAAUAAAUGAUGAUGAUGAUGAUUCAGGGAUCGCAGCUAUCUAAGGACAAUCACAGCAAACUCUCUGAAGAGAGCGAAGCCUUGCUCUCCGCUCCAGCUGAACAGGAGAAGUUUCCGGUUCAGUGCUCGGAUGACCAAGCUGGAUUAAGCGGCGUCGUUAUUUAUGAAAAUGACACUUUCUCCAUGUCAAAUCCAUCACAAUGUGAAGAAAACCCUCAGGUGGAAAAAGAGCAUGAUUGAGCAUUAUUAAUAUUAAAACACUCCAGUAAUGCAUUAAGGGAUCAGUUUGAAAUUAAACUGGUGUUAAAUAUA